Molecule: ribosomal RNA, 429 nt
Filed under: Chloroflexota bacterium
Lineage: Bacteria; Bacillati; Chloroflexota
Description: Chloroflexi bacterium partial 16S ribosomal RNA
Rfam family: Bacterial small subunit ribosomal RNA
Source: RNAcentral
UGGGGAAUAUUGCACAAUGGGCGCAAGCCUGAUGCAGCCAUGCCGCGUGUGUGAAGAAGGCCUUCGGGUUGUAAAGCACUUUCAGCGGGGAGGAAGGCGAUAAGGUUAAUAACCUUGUCGAUUGACGUUACCCGCAGAAGAAGCACCGGCUAACUCCGUGCCAGCAGCCGCGGUAAUACGGCGGGUGCAAGCGUUAAUCGGAAUUACUGGGCGUAAAGCGCACGCAGGCGGUCUGUCAAGUCGGACGUGAAAUCCCCGGGCUGAACCUGGGAGCUGCAUUCGAAACUGGCGGGCUAGAGUCUUGUAGAGGGGGGUAGAAUUCCAGGUGUAGCGGUGAAAUGCGUAGAGAUCUGGAGGAAUACCGGUGGCGAAGGCGGGCCCCUGGACAAAGACUGACGCUCAGGUGCGAAAGCGGGGGGAGCAGACAGG